This 510-nucleotide ribosomal RNA is filed under the name uncultured bacterium. RNAcentral's name for it is "partial 16S ribosomal RNA". It matches the Rfam family "Bacterial small subunit ribosomal RNA", at positions 28 to 507 of the family's 1533-position model. The record is from RNAcentral.
GACGAACGCUGGCGGCGUGCUUAACACAUGCAAGUCGAACGAAGGGCGACGGAAGUUUGCUUCUAUCAGUCUUAGUGGCGAACGGGUGAGUCACGCGUAAUCAACCUGCCCGUCAGAGGGGGACAACAGUUGGAAACGACUGCUAAUACCGCAAACGAUCUAAUCUCGGCAUCGAGGAUGGAUGAAAGGUGGCCUCGACAUGUAUGCUUUCAUUGAAGGAGCGGAAUGCGUCUGAUUAGCUAGUUGGGGGGGUAGAGGACCACCAAGGCGAUGCACAGUAGCCGGACUGAGAGGGUGAACGGCCACAAUGGGACUGAGACACGGCCCAGACUCCUACGGGAGGCAGCAGGGGGGAAUCUUCCGCAAUGGACGGAAGUCUGACGGAGCAACGCCGCGGGAGUGAAGACGGCCUUCGGGUUGUAAAGCUCUGUUAAUCGGGACGAAAGGCCUUCUUGCGAAUAGGGAGAAAGAUUGACGGUACCGGAAUAGAAAGCCACGGCUAACUACGUG